Molecule: ribosomal RNA, 1645 nt
Filed under: Escherichia coli
Lineage: Bacteria; Pseudomonadati; Pseudomonadota; Gammaproteobacteria; Enterobacterales; Enterobacteriaceae
Description: partial 23S ribosomal RNA
Rfam family: Bacterial large subunit ribosomal RNA
Source: RNAcentral
CGAAUGCUGACAUAAGUAACGAUAAAGCGGGUGAAAAGCCCGCUCGCCGGAAGACCAAGGGUUCCUGUCCAACGUUAAUCGGGGCAGGGUGAGUCGACCCCUAAGGCGAGGCCGAAAGGCGUAGUCGAUGGGAAACAGGUUAAUAUUCCUGUACUUGGUGUUACUGCGAAGGGGGGACGGAGAAGGCUAUGUUGGCCGGGCGACGGUUGUCCCGGUUUAAGCGUGUAGGCUGGUUUUCCAGGCAAAUCCGGAAAAUCAAGGCUGAGGCGUGAUGACGAGGCACUACGGUGCUGAAGCAACAAAUGCCCUGCUUCCAGGAAAAGCCUCUAAGCAUCAGGUAACAUCAAAUCGUACCCCAAACCGACACAGGUGGUCAGGUAGAGAAUACCAAGGCGCUUGAGAGAACUCGGGUGAAGGAACUAGGCAAAAUGGUGCCGUAACUUCGGGAGAAGGCACGCUGAUAUGUAGGUGAAGCGACUUGCUCGUGGAGCUGAAAUCAGUCGAAGAUACCAGCUGGCUGCAACUGUUUAUUAAAAACACAGCACUGUGCAAACACGAAAGUGGACGUAUACGGUGUGACGCCUGCCCGGUGCCGGAAGGUUAAUUGAUGGGGUUAGCGCAAGCGAAGCUCUUGAUCGAAGCCCCGGUAAACGGCGGCCGUAACUAUAACGGUCCUAAGGUAGCGAAAUUCCUUGUCGGGUAAGUUCCGACCUGCACGAAUGGCGUAAUGAUGGCCAGGCUGUCUCCACCCGAGACUCAGUGAAAUUGAACUCGCUGUGAAGAUGCAGUGUACCCGCGGCAAGACGGAAAGACCCCGUGAACCUUUACUAUAGCUUGACACUGAACAUUGAGCCUUGAUGUGUAGGAUAGGUGGGAGGCUUUGAAGUGUGGACGCCAGUCUGCAUGGAGCCGACCUUGAAAUACCACCCUUUAAUGUUUGAUGUUCUAACGUUGACCCGUAAUCCGGGUUGCGGACAGUGUCUGGUGGGUAGUUUGACUGGGGCGGUCUCCUCCUAAAGAGUAACGGAGGAGCACGAAGGUUGGCUAAUCCUGGUCGGACAUCAGGAGGUUAGUGCAAUGGCAUAAGCCAGCUUGACUGCGAGCGUGACGGCGCGAGCAGGUGCGAAAGCAGGUCAUAGUGAUCCGGUGGUUCUGAAUGGAAGGGCCAUCGCUCAACGGAUAAAAGGUACUCCGGGGAUAACAGGCUGAUACCGCCCAAGAGUUCAUAUCGACGGCGGUGUUUGGCACCUCGAUGUCGGCUCAUCACAUCCUGGGGCUGAAGUAGGUCCCAAGGGUAUGGCUGUUCGCCAUUUAAAGUGGUACGCGAGCUGGGUUUAGAACGUCGUGAGACAGUUCGGUCCCUAUCUGCCGUGGGCGCUGGAGAACUGAGGGGGGCUGCUCCUAGUACGAGAGGACCGGAGUGGACGCAUCACUGGUGUUCGGGUUGUCAUGCCAAUGGCACUGCCCGGUAGCUAAAUGCGGAAGAGAUAAGUGCUGAAAGCAUCUAAGCACGAAACUUGCCCCGAGAUGAGUUCUCCCUGACUCCUUGAGAGUCCUGAAGGAACGUUGAAGACGACGACGUUGAUAGGCCGGGUGUGUAAGCGCAGCGAUGCGUUGAGCUAACCGGUACUAAUGAACCGUGAGG